AUUAAAUUAAAGAACUAAAGAAAAAUAAAUAAAAAAAAAAGGAAAAGUAAAAAGUGAUGACAUCAUGCAUGACCUCAUGCAUGAUGCAAUAAUUAUUAUAAUUAAAAUUUGUGGUCUUCCUAAAGACAUAAAAGAAAAUAAAGAAAAAAAAAAAUCAAAAGUCUUCUUCAUUGCCGUCCCUCUCACUCUCACCCUCUCCCUC
This 202-nucleotide unclassified non-coding RNA is filed under the name Hevea brasiliensis (rubber tree). The record is from RNAcentral. Lineage: Eukaryota; Viridiplantae; Streptophyta; Magnoliopsida; Malpighiales; Euphorbiaceae.